AGUGAACGCUGGCGGUAGGCCUAACACAUGCAAGUCGAACGGCAGCACAGGAGAGCUUGCUCUCUGGGUGGCGAGUGGCGGACGGGUGAGGAAUACAUCGGAAUCUACUCUGUCGUGGGGGAUAACGUAGGGAAACUUACGCUAAUACCGCAUACGACCUACGGGUGAAAGCAGGGGAUCUUCGGACCUUGCGCGAUUGAAUGAGCCGAUGUCGGAUUAGCUAGUUGGCGGGGUAGAGGCCCACCAAGGCGACGAUCCGUAGCUGGUCUGAGAGGAUGAUCAGCCACACUGGAACUGAGACACGGUCCAGACUCCUACGGGAGGCAGCAGUGGGGAAUAUUGGACAAUGGGCGCAAGCCUGAUCCAGCCAUACCGCGUGGGUGAAGAAGGCCGUCGGGUUGUAAAGCCCUUUUGUUGGGAAAGAAAUCCAGCUGGCUAAUACCCGGUUGGGAUGACGGUACCCAAAGAAUAAGCACCGGCUAACUUCGUGCCAGCCGCCGCGGUAA
This 506-nucleotide ribosomal RNA is filed under the name uncultured bacterium. RNAcentral's name for it is "partial 16S ribosomal RNA". It matches the Rfam family "Bacterial small subunit ribosomal RNA", at positions 29 to 523 of the family's 1533-position model. The record is from RNAcentral.